AGAGUUUGAUUAUGGCUCAGAAUGAACGCUGGCGGCGUGCUUAACACAUGCAAGUCGAACGAUGAAGCCUAGCUUGCUAGGUGGAUUAGUGGCGCACGGGUGAGUAAUAUAUAGAUAACGUGCCUCUUAGUCUGGGAUAGCCAUUGGAAACGAUGAUUAAUACUGGAUACUCCUUCUAACUCUAAUGUUAGUCGGGAAAGUUUUUCGCUAAGAGAUCGGUCUAUAUCCCAUCAGUUAGUUGGUAAGGUAACGGCUUACCAAGGCAAUGACGGGUAGCGGGUUUGAGAGGAUGAUCCGCCACACUGGUACUGAGACACGGACCUGACUCCUACGGGAGGCAGCAGUGAGGAAUAUUGCACAAUGGAGGAAACUCUGAUGCAGCAACGCCGCGUGGAGGAUGACGCAUUUCGGUGUGUAAACUCCUUUUAUAUGUCAAGAAAAUGACGGUAGCAUAUGAAUAAGCACCGGCUAACUCCGUGCCAGCAGCCGCGGUAAUACGGAGGGUGCAAGCGUUAUUCGGAAUCACUGGGCGUAAAGGACGCGUAGGCGGGAUGCCAAGUCUGAUGUGAAAUCCUAUGGCUUAACCAUAGAACUGCAUUGGAAACUGGUAACCUAGAGUAUGGGAGGGGGGAGAUGGAAU
Molecule: ribosomal RNA, 640 nt
Filed under: uncultured Campylobacterota bacterium
Lineage: Bacteria; Pseudomonadati; Campylobacterota
Description: bacterial SSU rRNA
Rfam family: Bacterial small subunit ribosomal RNA
Source: RNAcentral